UGGGGAAUAUUGCGCAAUGGCCGCAAGGCUGACGCAGCGACGCCGCGUGGGGGAUGAAGCAUUUCGGUGUGUAAACCCCUGUUGCUCGGGACGAACAACCCUUUUCGAGGGGUCUGACGGUACCGAGUGAGGAAGCACCGGCUAACUCUGUGCCAGCAGCCGCGGUAAUACAGGGGAUGCAAGCGUUAUCCGGAAUUAUUGGGCGUAAAGCGUCCUGAGGUGGCUUACCCAGUCGACUGUGAAAGCUCA
This 249-nucleotide ribosomal RNA is filed under the name uncultured organism. RNAcentral's name for it is "partial 16S ribosomal RNA". It matches the Rfam family "Bacterial small subunit ribosomal RNA", at positions 355 to 604 of the family's 1533-position model. The record is from RNAcentral.